Molecule: ribosomal RNA, 230 nt
Filed under: uncultured Actinomycetales bacterium
Lineage: Bacteria; Bacillati; Actinomycetota; Actinomycetes; Actinomycetales
Description: partial 16S ribosomal RNA
Rfam family: Bacterial small subunit ribosomal RNA
Source: RNAcentral
CGGGUGAGUAACACGUGAGUAACCUGCCCUUGACUUUGGGAUAACUUCAGGAAACUGGGGCUAAUACCGGAUAGGAGCUCCUGCUGCAUAGUGGGGGUUGGAAAGUUUCGGCGGUUGGGGAUGGACUCGCGGCUUAUCAGCUUGUUGGUGGGGUGAUGGCCUACCAAGGCGACGACGGGUAGCCGGCCUGAGAGGGUGAUCGGCCACAUUGGGACUGAGAUACGGCCCAG